Molecule: ribosomal RNA, 482 nt
Filed under: uncultured bacterium
Lineage: Bacteria
Description: partial 16S ribosomal RNA
Rfam family: Bacterial small subunit ribosomal RNA
Source: RNAcentral
AUUGAACGCUGGCGGCAUGCCUUACACAUGCAAGUCGAACGGUAACAGGUCUUCGGAUGCUGACGAGUGGCGAACGGGAGAGUAAUACAUCGGAACGUGCCCGAUCGUGGGGGAUAACGGAGCGAAAGCUUUGCUAAUACCGCAUACGAUCUACGGAUGAAAGCAGGGGACCGCAAGGCCUUGCGCGGACGGAGCGGCCGAUGGCAGAUUAGGUAGUUGGUGGGAUAAAAGCUUACCAAGCCGACGAUCUGUAGCUGGUCUGAGAGGACGACCAGCCACACUGGGACUGAGCCACGGCCCAGACUCCUACGGGAGGCAGCAGUGGGGAAUUUUGGACAAUGGGCGAAAGCCUGAUCCAGCCAUGCCGCGUGAAGGAUGAAGGCCUUCGGGUUGUAAACUGCUUUUGUACGGAACGAAAAGACUCUUUCUAAUAAAGAGGGUCCAUGACGGUACCGUAAGAAUAAGCACCGGCUAACUACGUG